RNAcentral lists this ribosomal RNA (271 nucleotides) under uncultured prokaryote. Its description in RNAcentral is "partial 16S ribosomal RNA". It matches the Rfam family "Bacterial small subunit ribosomal RNA", at positions 524 to 794 of the family's 1533-position model. The record is from RNAcentral.
UACGUAGGUGGCGAGCGUUGUCCGGAUUUACUGGGCGUAAAGGGAGCGUAGGCGGACUUUUAAGUGAGAUGUGAAAUACCCGGGCUCAACUUGGGUGCUGCAUUUCAAACUGGAAGUCUAGAGUGCAGGAGAGGAGAAUGGAAUUACUAGUGUAGCGGUGAAAUGCGUAGAAAUUAGGAAGAACACCAGUGGCGAAGGCGAUUCUCUGGACUGUAACUGACGCUGAGGCUCGAAAGCGUGGGGAGCAAACAGGAUUAGAUACCCGGGUAGU